Molecule: long non-coding RNA, 475 nt
Organism: Ictalurus punctatus (channel catfish)
Lineage: Eukaryota; Metazoa; Chordata; Actinopteri; Siluriformes; Ictaluridae
Source: Ensembl
GUCGUGGUCACGGAAAACAGGGUCGAUAAACAAAACAAGAAACGAACUAUGACGAGGGACUGGAAGCGGAUAAUCCAGCGCGAACUAACUCUAAACAUGGACCGUGACUAUGACUAUGACUAUGAUACGAGCUAAACUAACUCUAAACAUUUAAUCUUCCGCGUUGUGUGCUGGGAGGCGCGCAGUAUAUAUGCGGACAUGAUCAGCGUCUAAACCGCUAGCAGCUGAGAGCAAUUCAGACCCACGUGAAAUCCCAGCCAAUGACAGAACAGGGAGGAGACAGAAACAUAAACAAAACACACGUGUCCAGAUGUCAUUACAGUCAACAACAGAAAAGCAGGUGCUCGCACAUUCACGCUUAGAGCACGCUGCUUCAAGGGGGAAUCGUGACAGAACCCCCCCCCGAGUGCCAUGAGUCAUCCCACUUCAUUGGCGGCCCCGGCCCCCUGGGCUGAAUGUCCCAAACAGAGCCAGG